GGGAGGCUAUGACUUUGUUAUCUCCAUAACAUUAUCAUUUUAAGGAUCUAAUAAUUUAGAGAAUUUGAUUUUAAUAAUUUGACAAGCAAUUGAUCGACGAGUCUUAAAUCCUCCUACAGACUUCAUCAAAUCAUGAAGAGGACUAUAGAUAAACUGAUCCAAGGGCACCUAAUUCAGUCAAACUGAUUUAAUGAUUUGAGAAUAAGAGAAAAGAUUAAUCAGCAAGUCAUAAAUCCUCCCACG
Molecule: long non-coding RNA, 243 nt
Filed under: Elaeis guineensis (African oil palm)
Lineage: Eukaryota; Viridiplantae; Streptophyta; Magnoliopsida; Arecales; Arecaceae
Description: long non-coding RNA (EGUI_LNC048141)
Source: RNAcentral